Mytilus californianus (California mussel) is the source of this 9036-nucleotide long non-coding RNA. RefSeq lists it as uncharacterized. The record is from RefSeq and is a predicted model, not a curated record. NCBI's taxonomy places the organism in Eukaryota, Metazoa, Mollusca, Bivalvia, Mytilida, Mytilidae. The transcript is spliced from 2 exons.
AAAAAGAAAUUGUGGGGGGCCAAUUUUUUCUCAUUUCAGAUUUCAGAAAUUAAAAAGAAUUAUUCUUCAAAUAUUAUUUUUUUUUCAAAUUUCAAAUAUUGAAAAAUUUCAAGAAGUAAUCUUUAAUUGCACAGUAUGGCGCAUUAGAUUUGUAAAAUCUUUGAUCACAUUUAUUUAUUUGUUAUGCCGAAUCUAACAGUGUAUUUAGAUUUUUAAUUUUGGGUCCAGUUUUCAAAUUGGUCUACAUUAAUGUCCAAAGGGUCCAAAAUUAAACUUUGUUUGAUUUUAGCAAAAAUUGAAUAUAUGAGGUUCUUUGAUAUGCUGAAUCUAAACAUGUAUUUAGAUUUUUGAUUUUUGGCCCAGUUUUCAAGUUGGUCCAAAUUGGGGUCCAAAAUUAAACUUUGUUUGAUUUCAACAAAAAUUGAAUAUAUGGGGUUCUUUGAUAUGCUGAAUCUAACCAUGUAUUUAGAUUUUUUAUUUGUGGACCCCGUUAUCUAAUUGGUUCAUAUUGAGGUCAAAAGGGUCCAAAAUUAAACUUUGUUUGAUUUCAUCUAAAAUUGAAUUAUUGGGGUUCUUUGAUAUUCCAAAUCUAACCGUGUAUUUAGGUUCUUAAUUUUGGGUCCUGUUUUUUAAAUUGGUCUACAUUGAGGUCCAAAGGGUCCAAAAUUAAACUUAGUUUGAUUUUAACAAAAAUUGAAUUCUUGGGGUUCUUUGAUUUGCUGAAUCUAAACAUGUGUUUAGAUUUUUGAUUAUGGGCCCAGUUUUCAAGUUGGUCCAAGAUAGGGUCCAGUAUUUAAACUUUGUUUGAUUUCAACAAAAAUUGAAUAUAUGGGGUUCUUUGAUAUGCUGAAUCUAAACAUGUAUUUAGAUUUUUGAUUAUGGGCCCAGUUUUCAAGUUGGUCCAAAUUGGGGUCCAAAAUUAAACUUUGUAUGAUUUCAACAAAAAUUGAAUAUAUGAUGUUCUUUGAUAUGCUGAAUCUAACCAUGUAUUUAGAUUUUUUAUUUGUAGGCCCCGCUAUCAAAUUGGUUCAUAUUGAGGUCAAAAGGGUCCAAAAUUAAACUUUGUUUGAUUUCAUCGAAAAUUGAAUUAUUGGGGUUCUUUGAUAUGCCAAAUCUAACCGUGUUUUUAGAUUUUUAAUUUGGGUCCCGUUUUUUAAAUUGGUCUUCAUUGAGGUCCAAAGGGUCCAAAAUUAAACUUAGUUUGAUUUUAACAAAAAUUGAAUUCUUGGGGUUCUUUGAUAUGCUGAAUCUAAACAUGUAUUUAGAUUUUUGAUUUUUGGCCCAGUUUUCAAGUUGGUCCAAAUUGGGGUCCAAAAUUAAACUUUGUUUGAUUUCAACAAAAAUUGAAUAUAUGGGGUUCUUUGAUAUGCUGAAUCUAACCAUGUAUUUAGAUUUUUUAUUUGUGGACCCCGUUAUCUAAUUGGUUCAUAUUGAGGUCAAAAGGGUCCAAAAUUAAACUUUGUUUGAUUUCAUCUAAAAUUGAAUUAUUGGGGUUCUUUGAUAUUCCAAAUCUAACCGUGUAUUUAGGUUCUUAAUUUUGGGUCCUGUUUUUUAAAUUGGUCUACAUUGAGGUCCAAAGGGUCCAAAAUUAAACUUAGUUUGAUUUUAACAAAAAUUGAAUUCUUGGGGUUCUUUGAUUUGCUGAAUCUAAACAUGUGUUUAGAUUUUUGAUUAUGGGCCCAGUUUUCAAGUUGGUCCAAGAUAGGGUCCAGUAUUUAAACUUUGUUUGAUUUCAACAAAAAUUGAAUAUAUGGGGUUCUUUGAUAUGCUGAAUCUAAACAUGUAUUUAGAUUUUUGAUUAUGGGCCCAGUUUUCAAGUUGGUCCAAAUUGGGGUCCAAAAUUAAACUUUGUAUGAUUUCAACAAAAAUUGAAUAUAUGAUGUUCUUUGAUAUGCUGAAUCUAACCAUGUAUUUAGAUUUUUUAUUUGUAGGCCCCGCUAUCAAAUUGGUUCAUAUUGAGGUCAAAAGGGUCCAAAAUUAAACUUUGUUUGAUUUCAUCGAAAAUUGAAUUAUUGGGGUUCUUUGAUAUGCCAAAUCUAACCGUGUUUUUAGAUUUUUAAUUUGGGUCCCGUUUUUUAAAUUGGUCUUCAUUGAGGUCCAAAGGGUCCAAAAUUAAACUUAGUUUGAUUUUAACAAAAAUUGAAUUCUUGGGGUUCUUUGAUAUGCUGAAUCUAAACAUGUAUUUAGAUUUUUGAUUAUGGGCCCAGUUUUCAAGUUGGUCCAAGUUGGGGUCCAAAAUUAAACUUUUUUUUAUUUCAACAAAAAUUGAAUAUAUGGGGUUCUUUGAUAUGCUGAAUCUAACCAUGAAUUUAGAAUUUUUAUUUGUGGGCCCCGCUAUCAAAUUGGUUCAUAUUGAGGUCAAAAGGGUCCAAAAUUAAACUUUGUUUGAUUUCAUCAAAAAUUGAAUUAUUGGGUUUUUUUGAUAUUCCAAAUCUAACCGUGUAUUUAGAUUUUUAAUUUUAAGUCCCGUUUUUUAAAUUGGUCUACAUUAAGGUCCAAAGGGUCCAAAUUAAACUUAGUUUGAAUUUAGCAAAAAUUGAAUUCUUGGGGUUCUUUGAUAUGCUGAAUCUAAACAUGUGUUUAGAUUUUUGAUUAUGGGCCCAGUUUUCAAGUUUGUCCAAGUUGGGGUCCAAAAUUAAACUUUGUUUGAUUUUAACAAAAAUUGAAUAUAUGGUGUUCUUUGAUAUGCUGAAUCUAACCAUGUAUUUUGAUUUUGGACAUUGGACCAUAAUAGGUAAAUUAAAAAAAUUCAAGUUCUUAGACCACAUUCUUUCUGUGUCAGAAACCUAUGCUGUGUCAAAUAUUUAAUAACAAUCCAAAUUCAGAGCUGUAUCAAGCUUGAAUGUUGUGUCCAUACUUGCCCCAACUGUUCAGGGUUCGACCUCUGCGGUCGUAUCAAGCUGCGCCCCAGCGAAGCAUUUUAUUUUAAUUUAACAUCAUUUCAUAUAAACUGGUUAAAAAUGAGACUAUUCAAUAAGAACUAACAAUUAAACAUUUGAAAUUUCAUACUAUUUUUGGGAAGAUUUUUCAAUACAUUUGAACUGUGUUUCAUUGGUUGUCUUGAACACACACGAGCAUGCUGGAUGCUGUUUAAUAUCUACAAAACACUUGAUAUAGAAUGUUGCAUUGCCAUGCAGCCUAUGGGAAUAUAAAUAAUCAUGUGAUCUUGUGAAAAUCUCAUUAAUAAUAUAUUAUAUAUAUACAGAUAGAUAUACAGUGAGAGGGAGAGAGAAAGAAAGCUGUUGAUCAGAUGAUAUUGCCUCAUUUGGAAACUUGAGGUUAACUUCAAGGAAGAAGUUUUGAGAGAUGGGACCGAAAAACAAAUCUUUCAUUUAUCAAUGAGGACUUUCAAAAUGAGAAAGACAUUUAUUUUGGAUGAUUUUUGUCGAGCCUGCGAUUUUUGUCGCAAAAGCGAGAAAGCGAUCCUACGUUCUGUCGUCGUCGGCGGCGUCCACAAAUAUUCAUUCUGUGGUUAUUUUUUUUGAAAUUUUAAUAACUUUCUUAAACUAUCCUGGAUUUCUACCAAACUUGGACAGAAGCUUGUUUAUGAUCAAAAGCUAGUACGUAGAAGGAAAUUUUGUAAAAAUUUAUUUCCUGUUUUUCCGUAUAUUACUUUUAUAAAUGGACUUAGUUUUUAUACGACCGCAAAAAAAUUUUGCGGUCGUAUAUUGGUAUGACGUUGGCGUCGUCGUCGUCGUCCGGCGUCGUCGUCGUGUUCCGAAGACACAUUGGUUUUCGCACUCUAACUUUAGUUUAAGUGAAUGGAUCUCUAUGAAAUUUUACCACAAGGUUUAAUACCACAAAAGGAAGGUUGGAAUUAAUUUUGGGGGUUAUGAUACCAACAGUUAAGGAAUAAGGGGCCAAAAAUUAGAUUUUUUGUAACUUCCAGACAUAACUUGUGUGUUAGUGUAGGGAUUUCUCUGACAUUGUACCACAAGGUUCCAUAACACAAAGGGAAUGCUGGGAUUGAUUUUGGGGGUAAUUGCCUCAAAAUUUUAGGAAUUAUGGGCCAAAAAGGGGGCAAAAAACAAGCAUUUUUCUAGUUUCAUGACAAUAACUUGUGUGUAAGUGUAUGGAUCUUUCUGAAAUUGUACUACGAGGUUCCAUAUCACAAAGGGAAAGCUGGAAUUGAGUUUCGGGGUAAUUGCCUGAAAUGUUUAGGAAUAAGGGGCCAAAAAUAAGCAUUUUUCUAGUUUCCAGAGAAUAACUUGUGUUCAAGUGUAUGGAUCUUUCUGAAAUUGUACUGCAAGGUACCAUACCACAAAUGGAAGGCUGGGAUUGAUUUUGGGGGUAAUUGCCUCAAAAUUUUAGGAAUUAGGGGCAAAAAAGGGGCAAAAAACAAGCAUGUUUCUAGUUUCUGGACAAUAACUUGUUUGUAAGUGUAUGGAUCUUUAUGAAAUUGUACUACAAGGUUCCAUAUCACAAAGGGGAAGCUGGGUUUGAGUUUGGGGGUAAUUGCCCUAAACAUUUAGGAAUUUGGGGCCAAAAAACAAGCAUUUUUCUAGUUUCCAGACAAUAACUUGUGUUCAAGUGUAUGGAUCUCUCUGAAAUUGUACUGCAAGGUACCAUACCACAAAGGGAAGGCUGGGAUUGAGUUUGGGGGUGAUGAAUCAUAAGGGGGUUCAAAAAAUUUGGGGGGGGGGAUUUUUUUUUCCCUUUUUUUUCUUUAAAAUUUUCCGUUUUAAAUUGGUUAUUUCUGAUUUAUAUAUAAAAGCAAAUAAUAAUGAUAUGGUUUGAAUAGGUAAAUCAAAAAUUUUUAAGUUCUUAGACCACAUUCAUUCUGUGUCAAAAACCUAUGCUGUGUCAAAUAUUUAAUCACAAUCCAAAUUCAGAGCUGUAUCAAGCUUGAAUGUUGUGUCCAUACUUGUCCCAAAUGUUCAAGGUUCGACCUCUGCGGUCGUAUCAAGCUGCGCCCAGCGGAGCAUUUUAUUCUGUCAGUUAACAUUACAGUCACUCUGUGGUUAAAGUUUUAAAAAUUUUAAUUACUUUCUUAAACUAUCCUGGAUUUCUACUAAACUUGGACAGAAGCUUGUUUAUGAUCAAAAGCUAGUACGUAGAAGGAAAUUUUGUAAAAAAUUAUUUCCUGUUUUUCCGUAUAUUACUUAUAAAUGGACUUGAGUUUUUCUUCCAGUUAACAUUACAUACAGUCUGCAGUUAAAGUUUUUAAAACAUUUAUUAGAUUCAUAAACCAACCUGGAUUUUUACCAAACUUGGACAGAAGCUUCUUACAAUCAAAAGAUAGUAUCUAGAGGAACAUUUUUAAUAACUUUUUCCCCAUUUUUGUUGAGCCUGCGACUUUUGUCUUCCAGACAAUAUAUAGAUUGGAUUGCAUACUGUAUUCAUUUUUUAUAAGUAUAACUUUUUUCAUACAUUUAAAACGUUUUAUUUCAUUAACUGUAAAUCUAUUAUGUGCAUUCCCCUAUCACACUGAAAACAUAGACAACAGCAAAAGUAGGCGAGACACUGGGUUCCGCGGAACCCUUACAAAUUUUUUAACCUACAGUGCUUAGAUUUGAGUGUUUAGGGAAAAAAGGGAUUAGAAUAACUUACUGGCUGGCUGAACCAGGAAAUCAGUAUUAUCUCAUUAGUGGCAGGCCUUUUUUUUAAACAAAUUAUUUGUUUCAGGAGGAACACAGAGCAUGUCUUUUUAAUUUUCACUUCUAGUUGAUAAUAAAUCUCAGUUUGACAUAGUUUAAAUUUGUGAAGUAAGUUAUAUAUACUUUUGGACACCUUUCAAAGAAAUAUUUUACUUGGAUGCAUUGUGAAAUGUAAACAUCAAGGUCAGCCAAUCAAACAAAACCAAAUUCUACAGGUUUGGCUUGACAAACAAUCAAGUGCGAAUAAAAUUAAUUGUUUUAUCGGAGAAAACAAAAUAAAAAUGUUUUAGAAGUUCUGUUUUCAGUUAUUUACUUUCCAUUAUUUAUAAAAAUUAUUUCUAUAGUGGAUUUAAAAAACUCAUGCUUACACUAAACAAAGAAUCGAAGCUCUUUGUUAGAGAAGGCGAUAAAUGCUUACUGUAAUGUUUACUAUAGUAACAAAUUUUUUAAAAGUUAAUAGAAACAAAUAAAAUGAGUUUUCGGCUAAAUUACGAAGUAUUUUAUCAUAAAAACACAAUUUGCAUAAGUUUUCAAUUUAUCUAUUACAUAAUUUAGCAGAACAAUUAGAUAUCAAGUCGACGAUAUGGCUGACUAUUCAGUUGGAUCUAAAAAAAAUGCAUAACCUCCGAUUUUUAUUUUUUUUUACCACGGACGGAGAACAUAUCAAUCUAUUUGUUCCUUAAUUUUCGUUUCUGCCCUUCCAUUAUUUAACUCAAGAAAAAAUUCAAAAAAAUGGGUCACAAUUGCAUCGAAAAGAUUAAAUCGAGUGCACCUUUUUAUGUAAGGGCGUGUUUGAGUUAAAUAUUUUGUCUUGAAAACGUAUAAAGCAAGAGUAUUUGAUACAUCAUCUCACUUCAGAUUCUAUUAUUUUUAUAUAUCAAGGCUACAUGUUGACUUUAUAACAUCGAAAGUUCACAGUACUAAAAAAUAUAUGGGUCAAGUGAAAUACCUUUCUAUAAUGAAUCACAAAAGCAGAGUAGGUGUGUUCGAAUAGCAAAUUUUUACUAAAAGUACUUGACGACUGACUUUUAAGUUGGAUCUUAAAAAUGCAUAUCUUCGAAAAAAUUUCAUUUUUUUGUGUGUGAUAAUUAGGGUUUAUAGUCUUCAACCGCUGAAAAUUUUUAGUCUGCCCUUCCACGAAAUAUUUAUUUAGAUUUUUUUUUAAAUGUUUAUGAAUUUCCGAAAAUUCGACCUGACAACCGAUCCGACAAUAGUUUUAAGUUGACUGAAUGCAGACAAGUACAUUAACUGAUGCUCAUUAGCUAGUAGAUACAUUUGUCUUUAAAAUACACCUGGCAUAUAAGGAUCGUAAUGGUGCUAUGUGGAUAAAUUUAUCGGUUUUCAAGAGCUAAAUUGGAAGCGCGUCAUCUCUACAAUGGCUUCCAUUUUUACGAUUGUAAAAAUGAACUGGCGUAAUGGGGAGAAAAUUUUGACAAAGUAGAAUCCUGACUGUAAAGGGAUGCAUGUGUUACUGAUUUAAGUAAAAUAUCAGAUGUAAAUGACAGUCAAUAAAUUGACAUACCAAAUACACCUACAACAGGUUUGUAAGUAGGCAUAUAAUUGGCAAACCAAAUACACAACAGGUUUGUAAAUAGGCAUAUAAUUGACAAACCAAACACACAACAGGUUUGUAAAUAGGCAUAUAAUUGACAAACCAAACACACAACAGGUUUGUAAAUAGGCAUAUAAUUGACAAACCAAACACACAACAGGUUUGUAAAUAGGCAUAUAAUUGACAAACCUAACACACAACAGGUUUGUAAAUAGGCAUAUUAUUGACAAACCAAACACACAACAGGUUUGUAAAUAGGCAUAUAAUUGACAAACCAAACACACAACAGGUUUGUAAAUAGGCAUAUAAUUGACAAACCAAACACAACAGGUUUGUAAAUAGGCAUAUAAUUGACAUCAGAUUUUAAAAUUUUGUUCAUGUAAAACUGGUUUCACAAUGUUCUAUGCUGUUCCUAUUUACUGUCAUAGUCUCUUUAACAAUUAACUUAUCUCAAAGGAAGGUAGUACCUGAGCUAAUGGUGAUUUUAUGAUUCAGUUGGCUAGCUAGGUAACCAAAGUUCUUGUUUCUCCUACACACUUAGAUCGUUGCGCUGAAGUGCUGAACACAUUAUACUGUACACACACAAUGUAGUUUUCUAUUCAUUGGUUGUACAAUAAAUCUACUUAAUUUUCCCUUUGUCUGUGAUAUGUAAAAUAACCAUUUUGUCUGGCUUUGAAUUUUUUAUAGAAUUAUUUUUUUUUAUACGCCCGUUUACGGGACGUAUUAUGGUAUACCGUUAACCGUCUGUCCGUCCGUCCGUCGUCAACAUGUCGGACAUUAACUCAAAAAAGCUUUAACCAAUAUGAUUGAAACUUUGGUGAAUUGUUUAUAUCUAUUGACGUGAGCUCCCUUUUGUUUUUUAUAAAUUUCAGAAUUCCCGUUUCCGAGUUUUGGGGUUUUAUUUAUUAAAAAAGGGGUGAUUUUCCAGUUUUCCAACAUUAACUCAAGAAUGCUUUCACCAACUUGCAAGAAAUUUUGGUGAAUUGUUUAUAUCUAUUGACAUGAGCUCCCUUUCGAUUUUUAUAAAUUUUAGAUUUUACGUUUCCGAGUUGCAGGGUUUUAUUCAUAAAAAAGGGUGAUCUUCCAGUUUUCGGACAAUAACUAAAAAAUGCUUUCAGCAGUUCUCAUGAAACUUUGGUGAAUUGUUUAUAUCUGUUGAUGUAAGCUCUCUUUAGAAUUUUAUAAAUUUUAGAUUUUACAUUUUGAGUUGUGGGGUUUUAUUCAUUAAAAAAGGGGGGAUUUUCCAGUUUUUGGACAAUAACUCAAAAAUGCUUUCAGCAGUUCUCAUGAAACUUUCGUGAAAUAUUUAUAGCUAUUGAUGUAAUUUCCCAAUUGAUUUUCAUAAAUUUUAAAUAUGACAUUAAGAAGAAAUUGAACUUUAUUUGUUUAUAGUCUGACAACAGAUUUACUAAGUAUUUCGUAACAGCACAGUGUAUUGCACAACUGCAAGAAAUCUUUAAUUGAAUAUAAAUUCAAUUCCUAUAACCAGUUUCAAGUUCUUUGACUACAUUUAUCAGAAACCUAUAAUAUGUCAAAUAUUUAAUUACAAUCCAAAUUCAGACCUGUGUCAAGCUUGAAUAUUGUGUCCAUUUUUGCCCCAACUGUUCAGGGUUGGACCUCUGCGGGCGUAUCCAGCUGCGCUCAGCGAAGCAGUUUAUUUAUAUUGCCACAUGUUUUUAUUUUUGAAUUGUAGUAUAAUAUUUCAUGAUAAUUUUGAAACAUUCUGUAUACAUUCCCUCUAUGUAAUUAAUGUAAGGGGUAUUAUGUAUUGUAACUUAUAUUAAAACCAGUCGGUUGUUUUUUUAUUUAAAUAUUUGCAGUUUGCAUGUGUCAGACUGAUACCUUGAUUUGUAUUUUAUAAGCAUGUUAAUAAACAUAUAAAAUGAA